GACGAACGCUGGCGGUGUGCUUAACACAUGCAAGUCGAGCGGUAAGGCCCUUUCGGGGGUACACGAGCGGCGAACGGGUGAGUAACACGUGGGUGACCUGCCCUCAGCUCUGGGAUAAGCCUGGGAAACUGGGUCUAAUACCGGAUAUGACCUGCUGCUUCAUGGUGGUGGGUGGAAAGUUUUUCGGCUGGGGAUGGGCCCGCGGCCUAUCAGCUUGUUGGUGGGGUGAUGGCCUACCAAGGCGACGACGGGUAGCCGGCCUGAGAGGGCGACCGGCCACACUGGGACUGAGACACGGCCCAGACUCCUACGGGAGGCAGCAGUGGGGAAUAUUGCGCAAUGGGCGGAAGCCUGACGCAGCGACGCCGCGUGGGGAUGAC
Molecule: ribosomal RNA, 380 nt
Filed under: uncultured bacterium
Lineage: Bacteria
Description: bacterial SSU rRNA
Rfam family: Bacterial small subunit ribosomal RNA
Source: RNAcentral